This is a long non-coding RNA of Bombus terrestris (buff-tailed bumblebee), 3393 nucleotides long. RefSeq lists it as uncharacterized. The transcript has 9 exons. NCBI's taxonomy places the organism in Eukaryota, Metazoa, Arthropoda, Insecta, Hymenoptera, Apidae. The record is from RefSeq and is a predicted model, not a curated record.
UUGGUUAUAAAGUGUUAUAACGCUAACAAAGUAUAACCUUAUAACACUGUGAACAGAUGAAAUCAUUCCAUGUGUCACGCGGUUACAAAUUAGAUUUUAUAGCAGAUAAUUAAACAUAUAAUAUUCUUCCGCAGCGAAAAAGCGAAAUUCUGUAAAAUUUUAUGUCAAUUCAUGUAAAUGAUGAAUCUUUUUAUCGCUUACUCUUUAUUAUAUAGUCAAAGAAGCUGCGAAACAAAGUGAAGGAUUCGACGUUUGCGAAUGGAAAGACGUGUCACAGGAAGGAAUAAAAGAAUAGUGAAGAAGGAAAAAGAGGAUUGCGAUCAAAGAGAGGAAGGGUAGAAGUGGUUGGCAGCCGAUCCGUCUCCGACAUGUCUGAUUGUUCCCUUAACGAUCGGCUGACAGGGAAGACGUAUGUCGGUGCCAUCAGAUAAUGCGACCGGCGUUGAUGUGUACGCGGCCCAUGGUACGCGUAAGCGUUUUGUAAACGCUUCGCACGUCUCCAUGGUGGCGUUCGUUCAGCGACAUCUUCAUAACGUUCUGGACAAAAAGACUGUCAUGUUGCGUCGCGUUGUUGCGUCAUGGCCCACGAACAUCGAUUCAAUCGAUUCAAAAAUUCUCGUAUCUGAUGUUCCACCUUUUUAUCUUUUUAAUUAUUCAACGUUCAUCGUCAAUAUUCUUAUUGAACAAAUUUUCUUCAAGUUCUUUAAGAUCUAUUUGAUCUUGAUCGAAUAAUAUGAAAUAAUAUGAAAAUCUUUGGGUUACAGGUUCGUGUUUGAGAGAAAAGAGCAAUUUUGAGGCACGUUUUAUUUCAUGCUGAUGACGAGAAAAAUCGAAUGGUGUAAUUUUUAUGGAAAUUUAAUAAGAAGAUGAUUAUUUAAUUACGUCCUUAUAGCCUGUUCUCGAUCACUUUUUUAAAAAUAAGUUAACCUAUUUCAUAUUUUAUACCUUGUUCGACCGUUCGCGGAGAGACGCGAUCUCGAGGAAGCGCGUCGACAGGAAUCUUAAAUUCUCGUUACGAUUAUACAAUCGACGCCACGAAAUGAUCGAUCCCCUAUUUCGUUUAGGAUAAUAGAGGUAGUUGAAUUGAUUAUAACACUGAGUUAACAAAUUACAAUUUACACUUUAUUUCAACAACUUGUAGACAUAGACAGUUACGCUCGGUGCUUAUAGAUAUAAGUUAAACAGAUGACUGAUCUAAAUCAGAUAUAGACAGUGAAGAGAUGUUGACUGAUCCGAAGAUGAUGAAUCAGUGAAGUUCGGUGACGAUGCUGUCGAAGAGGAAAACUAUCGCUGGAUGUUGGUCGCUCCACCACCGGUCGCGUGCGGGUGGAAAUGACCGUCGAACAAGGGAAAAACCCGACUUUCUCAUUUUUUAUCUGAUGGAACAAUAGCCAUAAGGAACCUCUUGAGUCGAAGGUGUUUUAUACCAAUUAACGGCCUUAACGCGAGUGGUCGCGUUGACCGAGGGAUGAAUUCUGAUUGAUGUAAAGAGUCACCGGACGUAACAUAUCUACUAUUCUGAUAGUAUUUCGUGAACAUAAGAGCCUCGGAUACUCGUGGUCUUCCAAAGCGCACAAAGAUAAGCCGCUCUUCAAACAUGUGCACGUUUCCUGUACUUCUGCAACACCACGCUGCUUCGUCGCUACUAGAUCAAAAGAACGAUCGAAUGAAAUUGUCUCCUACUGGCUUGCUUCGUUAACUAAAUAAAAAUUCAGUGGUGCUGAAACGUGGUCACAUACUAAGAAAGAUACUAAUAGGCGUUCUAUUAUACGAUUAAGUUACCUAAAUGCUGCACGCGAAUUCAUUCGCAAUGAUGCACGGUUCCAGUCGAUGAACCCUUGUUGAACUUUCUGUUCGUGUACAGUGUUCACGCGCCAUCGUCGUGUUUAACAAGCCGUUGACGAGUCGUAUGAACACGUUUCCCUUCGACGAGCGUGCACGUGUUCCUUGGGAUCCUGGUGCUGGCGUGCGAGUUUGACGCACCACUUUUAAAACGGAUUGACGCGCGUCGGUUUCCCGCUAAUGGCAGGGUUCGCAUAAACGCACAGACACACCGCGAUAAGGCCAAUUUGACGGAUCGUUUCGCGUAGCCGACGAGCUGCCACCAUGUUGUUUGUCUGUGAAUAUGAGACGAUAUGACGAAUCCAAAUAGACGGCCGAGAAAUGGAAAGUUAGAAUUUUCUGACGGUCGUUAUCGUUAGAAGACAUCGGAAAUUAAUCGCGCGUUAUGCAAUCAGAUUAUGUCCUUUGCGAAAUGUCAAAGUACCAGAAGUAUCGCAUAUUAAGGAAAAAAAGUAACUGUAAAACCAGCUUAAGAUUUUUCAUUCUCGUACAAAUAUACAAGGCGCAAGAGAUGAAAUCAGAUUUAGCAGUAUGAAGAAGGAAAGGAUAUUUCAAACACGAUAUACUUUGUUCCUUUAACCCUUUGCACUCCGAAUUUUGUUUCAAUUUCGUUAGCAGCAGCUUCCAACGUUUUUAAGUGUUUAUUUGAAAUUUACUUUAACUAAAAAAUAAGACAAUUUAAAUAAAUAAGGAUGCAAUCCUGCUUUUCCUUCGCACUCGACGAAGCAGCUCCUGAGCUAAAAACUAAUGUCGAGUCACACUCGACAUAGGAGUGCAAAGCGUUAAUACAAAGCACACGUGACAACAAAUGCACGCACGUAGCCUAACAAUCAUGCACAUCGGAUACCCGUGAAAGUGCAAGUUACAAACUCAAAAGAAGAACGAAGAAAGUGGAACAGGGGCUCGAACGAAGAAGAAAAGAUCCAUCGAGCCAUGUGGCAGGCGCAAACGCUCCCACACCGGAGGCAGUAACGAGCCAUCAAGUCUGCCGGUAAUCGAAUGCCAACUGCGGUCUUGUGUUUGCUCUAACGCCUUCGCGAGAAACAUGAAGCUAACUAAUCGCUAUCUACGCUUACGUGUCUCUGAGGAAAUACUACUUUCACUUCUAAAUUUAUGCAUAUAUGUCGUCCAAUUGACAUUCGUUGCUUGUUUUUCUGUAUUUUAAUCGAAUUUAAAGACUUUUUCCACGGAACGGCUAGAAUCUGGUCGAGAAACGUUAAGACCGAUUUUAAUCAUAAAUAUGAUAAUAUUUUUCGAACGUUUCGAAUAUACAACUAUGGAUAAAAUUAUUUACUAAAUUAUUAAGAGUAGAUACAUAAUAUUGCUAAAAAUUACGGGCUCAAAGUGGUGUAAGUCAGUUCAUUGUUACUGUUUAUAAAACGAUGCUCUACGUUUAUUGUCAUAAAAAUUCGUUCUAUUUUCCAAGUCAUGAAGACGUAUUGUAACAGAGGAUGAAGUUAUACCUUAAUGAAUUACGAAACUAAAUGGACGAUAUCUGUAAGAGUUGUGAUACGUAAUUAAAUUAAAGUUUAUCAAAUUUUCUCUUCAAUC